RNAcentral lists this unclassified non-coding RNA (307 nucleotides) under Hevea brasiliensis (rubber tree). The record is from RNAcentral. Lineage: Eukaryota; Viridiplantae; Streptophyta; Magnoliopsida; Malpighiales; Euphorbiaceae.
CCCGCAAUCCUCUAUGCCUGCCAGACCCGGAAUACGAUUAAUGUCCACCAGCACAGAGGGCCGAAGCAGGCGAAAGUUGAGCAUCGGCACGAGACUUUGACCGCCGGCAAUGAUCUUGCCAUCGCCGCCCGCGGCUGCAAGCGAGGCCACAGCGGAUUCCACGCUAUCGGCGACGACAUAAUCGAAGGCAGCGGGCUUCAUCUGCUCAGCAUCCCUUGAAUGCGGGUGGACGUUUCUCGGCGAAANGCGGCCCUCUUUAUAAUCAUCGCUUGCGGAAACGCGGUCGAUGAAACUUUGUGCCGCCCUC